This 465-nucleotide ribosomal RNA is filed under the name Vreelandella stevensii. Its description in RNAcentral is "partial 16S ribosomal RNA". It matches the Rfam family "Bacterial small subunit ribosomal RNA", at positions 338 to 795 of the family's 1533-position model. The record is from RNAcentral. Lineage: Bacteria; Pseudomonadati; Pseudomonadota; Gammaproteobacteria; Oceanospirillales; Halomonadaceae.
CCUACGGGGGGCAGCAGUGGGGAAUAUUGGACAAUGGGGGGAACCCUGAUCCAGCCAUGCCGCGUGUGUGAAGAAGGCCCUCGGGUUGUAAAGCACUUUCAGUGAGGAAGAACGCCUGGUGGUUAAUACCCAUCAGGAAAGACAUCACUCACAGAAGAAGCACCGGCUAACUCCGUGCCAGCAGCCGCGGUAAUACGGAGGGUGCGAGCGUUAAUCGGAAUUACUGGGCGUAAAGCGCGCGUAGGUGGCGUGAUAAGCCGGUUGUGAAAGCCCCGGGCUCAACCUGGGAACGGCAUCCGGAACUGUCAAGCUAGAGUGCAGGAGAGGAAGGUAGAAUUCCCGGUGUAGCGGUGAAAUGCGUAGAGAGCGGGAGGAAUACCAGUGGCGAAGGCGGCCUUCUGGACUGACACUGACACUGAGGUGCGAAAGCGUGGGUAGCAAACAGGAUUAGAUACCCCUGUAGUC